UGACAAAUGUUAUGAAGGAACUAUUGGUGUGAUGUGUUCUACUCGUAACCCAUAUCACAGCCGAUAGUUACUUCACUACGUCUGUCG
This 87-nucleotide microRNA precursor is filed under the name Oryctes borbonicus. RNAcentral describes it as "mir-2944 microRNA precursor family". It matches the Rfam family "mir-2944 microRNA precursor family". Lineage: Eukaryota; Metazoa; Arthropoda; Insecta; Coleoptera; Scarabaeidae. The record is from Rfam by way of RNAcentral.